Molecule: ribosomal RNA, 425 nt
Filed under: uncultured bacterium
Lineage: Bacteria
Description: partial 16S ribosomal RNA
Rfam family: Bacterial small subunit ribosomal RNA
Source: RNAcentral
GUGGGGAAUCUUGCGCAAUGGGCGAAAGCCUGACGCAGCCAUGCCGCGUGAAUGAUGAAGGUCUUAGGAUUGUAAAAUUCUUUCACCGGGGACGAUAAUGACGGUACCCGGAGAAGAAGCACCGGCUAACUCCGUGCCAGCAGCCGCGGUAAUACGAAGGGGGCUAGCGUUGCUCGGAAUUACUGGGCGUAAAGGUAGCGUAGGCGGACAUGUAAGUCAGGGGUGAAAUCCCGGGGCUCAACCACGGAAUUGCCUUUGAUACUGGGUGUCUUGAGUGUGAGAGAGGUAUGUGGAACUCCGAGUGUAGAGGUGAAAUUCGUAGAUAUUCGGAAGAACACCAGUGGCAAAGGCGACAUACUGGCUCAUUACAGACGCUGGGGCUCGAAAGCGUGGGGAGCAAACAGGAUUAGAAACCCUGGUAGUCC